UAUUGAUCAGGUAUCGUGCGUGCGUUCAA
This 29-nucleotide small RNA is filed under the name Bombyx mori (domestic silkworm). RNAcentral describes it as "ovarian small RNA-24216". The record is from RNAcentral. Lineage: Eukaryota; Metazoa; Arthropoda; Insecta; Lepidoptera; Bombycidae.